Molecule: ribosomal RNA, 253 nt
Filed under: uncultured bacterium
Lineage: Bacteria
Description: partial 16S ribosomal RNA
Rfam family: Bacterial small subunit ribosomal RNA
Source: RNAcentral
UACAGAGGGUGCGAGCGUUACUCGGAAUUACUGGGCGUAAAGCGCACGUAGUCGGCUUUGCAAGUCGGUUGUGAAAUCCCCGGGCUCAACCUGGGAACCGCGCUUGAGACUGGCGGACUCGAGUUCGGGAGAGGAUGGUGGAAUUCCCAGUGUAGAGGUGAAAUUCGUAGAUAUUGGGAAGAACACCGAUGGCGAAGGCAGCCAUCUGGACCGACACUGACGCUGAGGCGCGAAAGCGUGGGGAGCAAACAGG